Molecule: ribosomal RNA, 2925 nt
Filed under: Staphylococcus aureus
Lineage: Bacteria; Bacillati; Bacillota; Bacilli; Caryophanales; Staphylococcaceae
Description: 23S ribosomal RNA
Rfam family: Bacterial large subunit ribosomal RNA
Source: RNAcentral
UAGAUUAAGUUAUUAAGGGCGCACGGUGGAUGCCUUGGCACUAGAAGCCGAUGAAGGACGUUACUAACGACGAUAUGCUUUGGGGAGCUGUAAGUAAGCUUUGAUCCAGAGAUUUCCGAAUGGGGAAACCCAGCAUGAGUUAUGUCAUGUUAUCGAUAUGUGAAUACAUAGCAUAUCAGAAGGCACACCCGGAGAACUGAAACAUCUUAGUACCCGGAGGAAGAGAAAGAAAAUUCGAUUCCCUUAGUAGCGGCGAGCGAAACGGGAAGAGCCCAAACCAACAAGCUUGCUUGUUGGGGUUGUAGGACACUCUAUACGGAGUUACAAAGGACGACAUUAGAUGAAUCAUCUGGAAAGAUGAAUCAAAGAAGGUAAUAAUCCUGUAGUCGAAAAUGUUGUCUCUCUUGAGUGGAUCCUGAGUACGACGGAGCACGUGAAAUUCCGUCGGAAUCUGGGAGGACCAUCUCCUAAGGCUAAAUACUCUCUAGUGACCGAUAGUGAACCAGUACCGUGAGGGAAAGGUGAAAAGCACCCCGGAAGGGGAGUGAAAUAGAACCUGAAACCGUGUGCUUACAAGUAGUCAGAGCCCGUUAAUGGGUGAUGGCGUGCCUUUUGUAGAAUGAACCGGCGAGUUACGAUUUGAUGCAAGGUUAAGCAGUAAAUGUGGAGCCGUAGCGAAAGCGAGUCUGAAUAGGGCGUUUAGUAUUUGGUCGUAGACCCGAAACCAGGUGAUCUACCCUUGGUCAGGUUGAAGUUCAGGUAACACUGAAUGGAGGACCGAACCGACUUACGUUGAAAAGUGAGCGGAUGAACUGAGGGUAGCGGAGAAAUUCCAAUCGAACCUGGAGAUAGCUGGUUCUCUCCGAAAUAGCUUUAGGGCUAGCCUCAAGUGAUGAUUAUUGGAGGUAGAGCACUGUUUGGACGAGGGGCCCCUCUCGGGUUACCGAAUUCAGACAAACUCCGAAUGCCAAUUAAUUUAACUUGGGAGUCAGAACAUGGGUGAUAAGGUCCGUGUUCGAAAGGGAAACAGCCCAGACCACCAGCUAAGGUCCCAAAAUAUAUGUUAAGUGGAAAAGGAUGUGGCGUUGCCCAGACAACUAGGAUGUUGGCUUAGAAGCAGCCAUCAUUUAAAGAGUGCGUAAUAGCUCACUAGUCGAGUGACACUGCGCCGAAAAUGUACCGGGGCUAAACAUAUUACCGAAGCUGUGGAUUGUCCUUUGGACAAUGGUAGGAGAGCGUUCUAAGGGCGUUGAAGCAUGAUCGUAAGGACAUGUGGAGCGCUUAGAAGUGAGAAUGCCGGUGUGAGUAGCGAAAGACGGGUGAGAAUCCCGUCCACCGAUUGACUAAGGUUUCCAGAGGAAGGCUCGUCCGCUCUGGGUUAGUCGGGUCCUAAGCUGAGGCCGACAGGCGUAGGCGAUGGAUAACAGGUUGAUAUUCCUGUACCACCUAUAAUCGUUUUAAUCGAUGGGGGGACGCAGUAGGAUAGGCGAAGCGUGCGAUUGGAUUGCACGUCUAAGCAGUAAGGCUGAGUAUUAGGCAAAUCCGGUACUCGUUAAGGCUGAGCUGUGAUGGGGAGAAGACAUUGUGUCUUCGAGUCGUUGAUUUCACACUGCCGAGAAAAGCCUCUAGAUAGAAAAUAGGUGCCCGUACCGCAAACCGACACAGGUAGUCAAGAUGAGAAUUCUAAGGUGAGCGAGCGAACUCUCGUUAAGGAACUCGGCAAAAUGACCCCGUAACUUCGGGAGAAGGGGUGCUCUUUAGGGUUAACGCCCAGAAGAGCCGCAGUGAAUAGGCCCAAGCGACUGUUUAUCAAAAACACAGGUCUCUGCUAAACCGUAAGGUGAUGUAUAGGGGCUGACGCCUGCCCGGUGCUGGAAGGUUAAGAGGAGUGGUUAGCUUCUGCGAAGCUACGAAUCGAAGCCCCAGUAAACGGCGGCCGUAACUAUAACGGUCCUAAGGUAGCGAAAUUCCUUGUCGGGUAAGUUCCGACCCGCACGAAAGGCGUAACGAUUUGGGCACUGUCUCAACGAGAGACUCGGUGAAAUCAUAGUACCUGUGAAGAUGCAGGUUACCCGCGACAGGACGGAAAGACCCCGUGGAGCUUUACUGUAGCCUGAUAUUGAAAUUCGGCACAGCUUGUACAGGAUAGGUAGGAGCCUUUGAAACGUGAGCGCUAGCUUACGUGGAGGCGCUGGUGGGAUACUACCCUAGCUGUGUUGGCUUUCUAACCCGCACCACUUAUCGUGGUGGGAGACAGUGUCAGGCGGGCAGUUUGACUGGGGCGGUCGCCUCCUAAAAGGUAACGGAGGCGCUCAAAGGUUCCCUCAGAAUGGUUGGAAAUCAUUCAUAGAGUGUAAAGGCAUAAGGGAGCUUGACUGCGAGACCUACAAGUCGAGCAGGGUCGAAAGACGGACUUAGUGAUCCGGUGGUUCCGCAUGGAAGGGCCAUCGCUCAACGGAUAAAAGCUACCCCGGGGAUAACAGGCUUAUCUCCCCCAAGAGUUCACAUCGACGGGGAGGUUUGGCACCUCGAUGUCGGCUCAUCGCAUCCUGGGGCUGUAGUCGGUCCCAAGGGUUGGGCUGUUCGCCCAUUAAAGCGGUACGCGAGCUGGGUUCAGAACGUCGUGAGACAGUUCGGUCCCUAUCCGUCGUGGGCGUAGGAAAUUUGAGAGGAGCUGUCCUUAGUACGAGAGGACCGGGAUGGACAUACCUCUGGUGUACCAGUUGUCGUGCCAACGGCAUAGCUGGGUAGCUAUGUGUGGACGGGAUAAGUGCUGAAAGCAUCUAAGCAUGAAGCCCCCCUCAAGAUGAGAUUUCCCAACUUCGGUUAUAAGAUCCCUCAAAGAUGAUGAGGUUAAUAGGUUCGAGGUGGAAGCAUGGUGACAUGUGGAGCUGACGAAUACUAAUCGAUCGAAGACUUAAUCAA